Molecule: long non-coding RNA, 3416 nt
Organism: Psammomys obesus (fat sand rat)
Lineage: Eukaryota; Metazoa; Chordata; Mammalia; Rodentia; Muridae
Exons: 3
Source: RefSeq, a predicted model, not a curated record
CAUCCACAAAGGGGGUUUCCAAAAGGACCCCCGUUUUCCUACCCCCAACAUCUUCUCACACCAUUGCCCGACCCGCUAAUCAGCUCGAGGAGAAAGGAAAGAGGAAAUGCCGUUCUUUGACAAGAUGUGGGAAACCACCUCGAUUUGUGCUCCGUGUGGCUGUGACCAGGAAACAAAGAACCCUCGCCGGAUCCAGGGGCCAAGUUUCAAGUAAACUUUUCCGGACGCACCAAGCAAGUGUGUUCUUGUGUGUGUUUUCUGCUAGCUCCUGCAUCGGUCCAUUUGCAAGAAGGAAAAUCAGAAGAACCAUGCCCCAGCCUCUGAGGGAUUAAAGAGUGCCUGAAGCCUGGGAGAAAGAAGUCAGACAGAAUGCCACAAGCACAAUAAAAUGCAGCAGGGGCCCAUAACAUAGUAACAUGCAGGUGGCAUUCCAGACAUGCAUGUACCAAAAGACUAUCAGCUGUUUAUUGAAAUUCAGGUUUGACUGGGCCCCUGCACUUGUCUCUUCUCAGUCUGGCCACCCCAGUGGGCAUAGGUUCCCUGCAGGUCAGCCACUGUCCAGUGACUCCUCAUCUCUCUCUGUGGGAUGGCAGGCGGGUACUGAGGCCUCUCUGUUGGGAAAAGGGGCAGUAACAGCUAGCUCUGAGCCUCCUACCUAUUCCCAGCUCUGCCCAGAGGCUUACUGGAACCACCAGGUACUGUGUGCAAGUCCAGUAGGCAGGCCUUAUAAUCCCUCUGGCUCCCUGCUCCUGACACUUAUGGGAACCGCUGGUGUGCUGAAGGCAUCUGGUGGCUCCCUAAAAGCUAACGCCCACCCUUGAGCUUUGGAAGCCACAUGGUUGAUGAGGUGACCCACAUAAAACUGAUUUUUGUUCCCCUCCCAGUGCAGACACCAAGCCUGCUGUCAGGCUCCGGGUUAGGGUCUGACUUUGAGACAGUGCUGGGAAGAAGCCGCAUGCUGGGUCCUUCCCUGGAGCCUGAGCACAGGGCCUCUCUAAACAGGUCUAAAGAAAAACAGUCCUCGGAGCAGAAUUAUGUUUCCUCUCCCAGUUCCUGUGAGUUGAGACAGAGACAGACAGAGAGGGGCAGGAACUCGACGCACAGCUCAGCUUUCCCCAGCUCACACAAUCUCCCCAAACUAGAAAAGCAUUUUGUCUAUCUUUGGAGGUGCAGAUUUCGGUUUGAGCCAAGGCACCUUUUGAAUGACAGACACUGACACAAUCUAACCUUGAAAACAGAAGCUACAGGCUCUUGGGCAGAAUCACCUCCCCCAAAAGUCACCUAAAAUCAGUGAUAACAAACAAAAUUCAAAGGGCCGCAGCCAAACACAGGGCCAGGGCCUGCCUCCCAGGAGCGGCAAUGGGCCAUCUGUUGCUUGGGGUGGCCGGACCCUCCCUCAUUCUAUCACAGCUCAAAGUAGGUUAUCUAAAUAAAUGGGAGAAGAAAUCAAGGAGAUAUAUUAGCGUGGCGGGGUAUUCGUCAUCGCCUCUGUCCUUCCUUCCCCAGGAAUAUCGGUGAUGAAUUUGCAAAUGGCUCUGGAUUGUGACAGACCUCUUUUCUCUCUUCAUUAUUUAUCCCUUCUCUGUGCACCUCGAUUAGAGGCCACAGUGACAAAUGCAUGAAUAAAAGGCAAAGACAAUAUUUGAGCAAUGUGUUGUAAAUCUCCUUCUACGCAUUAUUAAUUUAAAGGAGUCCAUUACACCCAACAGCUCUGAAAAGGAAGACGGGGUAAUGGAGAAUGGCUUCUGCCCGUGGGGGUCAGAGAAAGAAAAAAGCAAGAUCAGCCCCUUGAGAAGGGAGGGGGAGUGGCAGGCUGUUCUUUUACCACAUCCGAAGCCUUCCGACCACCUUACUUUAGUUACUAAAAGAAAACAUUUGCUCCCUCAGACACAGUCUCAUUUUGCAAAGUAGGGGACGGGAGUGAUGUGAAAGGAUCUCGUUUUCUCAGUGACUGCAAAGGCUCUGAUGGCAAUGGAGAUGGGGAACGGUUCUCUCCCUCAUCUCCCCCGAGACAGAACCGCCGCUCACAUGGGAGAGAACACAGACGACUGGUGAAAGGUGCUGGGCAGAAUCAGGAGUAUUGCCACAGUGGCUGGACCAAGCAAGUCUGGCUAACAGUGAUAACACAGGCAUCCCCAGGGCCCAGAGACAGCGCUAAUCAGGAGCAGGCACCUCGGCAGCCACCGCCAAACCCUGCAGCCUACAUUUUCAUUCCUACUAUUUUCUUUUCUUUCAAAAUCCUCCAAGAAAGGAGUGUGGGCCCCAGAUUUCAACACCUGCCUUGGCCGACAAAAUGUAUCUGCAGGGAUCAAGUCGGCUCUGGACUCUCCCUGCAAAGGCAUCUCUUCCAGGGACCUUCCUCAGGAGCUCAGUGGGGUUGGCAGCAUCUCACAGAUUUGGGAGGUGCAGGGAAAGAUCUAGACCCCUCCUAAGAGGUCAGGACUAUCCAGGAGCCCAAGACCAUCGAUCGGGCUGGGGAGCGGACCAACGAAAAGCCUCCAUCCACUCACAGGGUAUCAAGGCUCCUUCAUCUGCCCAUUUUGAAGGGUUCAGAAGACCUGGGGAUCCAGUUGAAUCCGGGGGCACAGAGGAGUGGAAAGAGGAAGGGCGUCCCUGUGAGCUGCCCAAGUGGACCAGCUCACGGCCCGGAGGCUGAGAGGGGCAGAGGGUGGACCCCGGAGUCAGCGCACCCCACACUCCAGCAUCUGUCUCCCUGAAGUUUGAAGCCAUUCCUCUGACACUCGUCAACAUCCACCAGAAAGUGCACACUCUGUCCCUAAAGCCACCCACCCACCAGAUUGACGGGUUGGUAUGAACUCCCCCUGCCCAGAGUGCUCAUCAGCCCCCACUCCGUGGGAGAGUGCACCAGCCCACAGUGACAGCCCGACAGUCCAUUUAGGGGCUCAGUGGUGGACUGUCAGGCAGAUCCUAAUGAUUCAUCACCGACCCGGCCCGGUGACAGCCCAGCGGCACACAGAGGCAAACAGUGGUAGGGCCCAGUGGGACCUGCAACUCUAAAAUCAGAAACUCACAGACAAAAGGGCUCGGGAUGCCGAGGCCGGUGGGAGCGAGAGGAAUCCCGAGGCUGGUUUCGUUUUGUAUUUCCCUCAUCAGCCUAAUUGCUUGGGAAGCUGUGGUUUUCUUUGACACGGAGCAAGCAAGGGGAGACUCCCUGGUAACAUGCUAAAUCAAAAGUUGCCGAUGGCGGAUGGCGACACAGAUAUGCACAUAUUAAUUUGAAUUUUUAAGACAAGUGCCGCGUGUUAUUAAUAUAAUUGCCAGUUGUGGAAACGGUGUAUUUAUUGCGUUUUCGCUAUCGCUUUGCACUCCGUGCUUCUAAAUGGUACAAGGGGUAUGUUCAGCUGGUGUUUACUGAGCCUCUGACUGUUAAUCAGUGUAAAUUAAAUGUGUACUUG